GGGAAACAGCUCGGACCACCAGUUAAGGACCCCAAAUAUGUGUUAAGGGGGGACGAAUGACGCGUUGCUGAGACAACCAGGAUGUUGGCUUAGAAGCAGCCACCAUUGAAAGAGUGCGUAAUAGCUCACUGGUCGAGUGACCCCGCGCCGAAAAUGUACCGGGGCUAAACAUAUUACCGAAACUGUGGAUGAACCUCUUUAGAGGUUCGUGGUAGGAGAGCGUUCUAAGGGCGGUGAAGUCAGACCGGAAGGACUGGUGGAGCGCUUAGAAGUGAGAAUGCCGGUAUGAGUAGCGAAAGAAGGGUGAGAAUCCCUUCCACCGAAUAUCUAAGGUUUCCUGAGGAAGGCUCGUCCGCUCAGGGUUAGUCGUGACCUAAGCUGAGGCCGAUAGGCGUAGGCGAUGGACAACAGGUAGAGAUUCCUGUACCAG
RNAcentral lists this ribosomal RNA (430 nucleotides) under Bradyrhizobium campsiandrae. RNAcentral's name for it is "Bradyrhizobium sp. INPA01-394B partial 23S ribosomal RNA". It matches the Rfam family "Bacterial large subunit ribosomal RNA", at positions 1017 to 1447 of the family's 2925-position model. The record is from RNAcentral. Lineage: Bacteria; Pseudomonadati; Pseudomonadota; Alphaproteobacteria; Hyphomicrobiales; Nitrobacteraceae.